AUUGAACGCUGGCGGCAUGCCUUACACAUGCAAGUCGAACGGCAGCACGGGUGCUUGCACCUGGUGGCGAGUGGCGAACGGGUGAGUAAUACAUCGGAACAUGUCCUGUAGUGGGGGAUAGCCCGGCGAAAGCCGGAUUAAUACCGCAUACGAUCUACGGAUGAAAGCGGGGGACCUUCGGGCCUCGCGCUAUAGGGUUGGCCGAUGGCUGAUUAGCUAGUUGGUGGGGUAAAGGCCUACCAAGGCGACGAUCAGUAGCUGGUCUGAGAGGACGACCAGCCUGAGUGGAACGAUACCGGGCCGAAGUCUCCGGAUGGAGUGAACGGUGGGGAUUUUGGGACAGGGGGGAAAGGUCUGAUCCAACCGUCCCGCGAGAGAGAGAAAGGCGUUGGGUUGUGAAAGAUUUUUGUUGGGAAAAAAAGUAGUUGGCCCAAUCGGGGGGGGGGAAGGACAAUACCGAAAAAAAGAACCGGGGAUACCAUGGAG
RNAcentral lists this ribosomal RNA (486 nucleotides) under uncultured bacterium. RNAcentral's name for it is "partial 16S ribosomal RNA". It matches the Rfam family "Bacterial small subunit ribosomal RNA", at positions 29 to 507 of the family's 1533-position model. The record is from RNAcentral.